UUCCACUUAACUCCCAGCUCUGGCACUAAGCGGGACUAUUCCAUAGUUAUAAUCUUAAAAUUUCUGAAGAAAAACUCACGCUGGUCAGCGUGGGCCAUGUAGCCACCCCAGGGGCCGAGGUCCCAUGACUGACUAGUUUAUACUAGAACUACCUAGAGCAACUAAGUUCUCCAGAAGGUGUUUACUUCCCAGAAGUAGAAAGCAGGGCUCCUUUGUCUGUCCCCCAAACAUCAGCACCUAUCAGGAAAUUCCAUUUCAAGUCUAACACAAAAGCUUAUCU
Molecule: long non-coding RNA, 280 nt
Filed under: Bos taurus (domestic cattle)
Lineage: Eukaryota; Metazoa; Chordata; Mammalia; Artiodactyla; Bovidae
Description: long non-coding RNA NONBTAT015915
Source: RNAcentral